RNAcentral lists this RNase P RNA (327 nucleotides) under bovine gut metagenome. Its description in RNAcentral is "Bacterial RNase P class A". It matches the Rfam family "Bacterial RNase P class A". Rfam says of the family: Ribonuclease P (RNase P) is a ubiquitous endoribonuclease, found in archaea, bacteria and eukarya as well as chloroplasts and mitochondria. Its best characterised activity is the generation of mature 5'-ends of tRNAs by cleaving the 5'-leader elements of precursor-tRNAs. The record is from RNAcentral.
CAGGACAAAUGAUCGCGGCCCGGAAGGGCUGAGGAAAGUCCGGGCUUCACAGGGCAGGGUGCCGGAUAACGUCCGGCGGAGGCGACUCCAGGGAAAGUGCAGCAGAAAGCAGACCGCCGGGUCUCCCGGUAAGGAUGAAAGGGCAGUGUAAGAGACUACCGGCGCUCCGGUAACGGCGCGCGCAUUGUAAACCCCACCCGAAGCAAGGCCGAAUCGGCGCGUAAGGCGGCCCGUCUGCGCCAUGGUUGGCCGCUGGAGCCUGCCGGCAACGGCAGGUCGAGACAGAUGAUCAUUCACGACAGAACCCGGCUUAUCGUCCUGCUCGUC